This 513-nucleotide ribosomal RNA is filed under the name uncultured bacterium. RNAcentral's name for it is "partial 16S ribosomal RNA". It matches the Rfam family "Bacterial small subunit ribosomal RNA", at positions 28 to 523 of the family's 1533-position model. The record is from RNAcentral.
GACGAACGCUGGCGGCGUGCCUAAUACAUGCAAGUUGAGCGCUGAAGGUUGGUACUUGUACCAACUGGAUGAGCAGCGAACGGGUGAGUAACGCGUGGGGAAUCUGCCUUUGAGCGGGGGACAACAUUUGGAAACGAAUGCUAAUACCGCAUAAAAACUUUAAACACAAGCUUUAAGUUUGAAAGAUGCAAUUGCAUCACUCAAAGAUGAUCCCGCGUUGUAUUAGCUAGUUGGUGAGGCAAAGGCUCACCAAGGGGAUGAUACAUAGCCGACCUGAGAGGGAGAUCGGCCACAUUGGGACUGAGACACGGCCCAAACUCCUACGGGAGGCAGCAGUAGGGAAUCUUCGGCAAUGGACGAAAGUCUGACCGAGCAACGCCGCGUGAGUGAAGAAGGUUUUCGGAUCGUAAAACUCUGUUGGUAGAGAAGAACGUUGGUGAGAGUGGAAAGCUCAUCAAGUGACGGUAACUACCCAGAAAGGGACGGCUAACUACGUGCCAGCCGCCGCCGUAA